RNAcentral lists this unclassified non-coding RNA (268 nucleotides) under Hevea brasiliensis (rubber tree). The record is from RNAcentral. Lineage: Eukaryota; Viridiplantae; Streptophyta; Magnoliopsida; Malpighiales; Euphorbiaceae.
GGAAUGUUUCUAAAUAAAAAGAACAGGGUAUAAUUGAAAUUUUAUAAAUUGUAUAAGGAUAAAAUAUGAAUACAAAAAUUUUAACUAUCUCAAACCACCGAUUUGGUGGAUUGAAAACCUGUGGUAGAGUGAUGGUUAAGAAACCCAAAACCUGUAGUAGAGUGAUGGUUCAAGAACAAUCAAAACAAAUGAGGAUAGAAAUCAUUCGAUACAUUAUGAAACAAUUAUCUAAACAUAGUGUUAGAGAUUAGAUGUUUUAGUAGUUGAA